This 72-nucleotide transfer RNA is filed under the name Nicotiana sylvestris (wood tobacco). It matches the Rfam family "tRNA". Rfam says of the family: Transfer RNA (tRNA) molecules are approximately 80 nucleotides in length. Their secondary structure includes four short double-helical elements and three loops (D, anti-codon, and T loops). Lineage: Eukaryota; Viridiplantae; Streptophyta; Magnoliopsida; Solanales; Solanaceae. The record is from Rfam by way of RNAcentral. RNAcentral also lists the same sequence under 1 other name.
GACUCUAGGGCCCAAUGGAUAUGGCGGUGGUCUACGGAACUAGAGAUUCUGGGUUCGAUCCCAGCAGAGUCG